This 324-nucleotide ribosomal RNA is filed under the name uncultured eukaryote. RNAcentral's name for it is "partial 18S ribosomal RNA". It matches the Rfam family "Eukaryotic small subunit ribosomal RNA", at positions 1470 to 1796 of the family's 1831-position model. The record is from RNAcentral.
CCCUUAGAUGUCCUGGGCUGCACGCGCGCUACACUGAUGUGUCCAGUAAGCACCUAACCUCUUCCGAAAGGAACGGGUAACCUUUGCAAAGCACAUCGUUAUGGGGAUAGAUUAUUGCAAUUAUUAGUCUUGAACGAGGAAUUCCUAGUAAGCACAAGUCAUCAGCUUGUGUUGAUUACGUCCCUGCCCUUUGUACACACCGCCCGUCGCUCCUACCGAUUGAAUGUUCCGGUGAGCUCUUCGGACUGCGCGGUCUGCAGUUUCUGCGUUCCGUGCGGAAAGUUGCGCAAACCUUAACAUUUAGAGGAAGGAGAAGUCGUAACA